This 501-nucleotide ribosomal RNA is filed under the name uncultured bacterium. RNAcentral describes it as "partial 16S ribosomal RNA". The record is from RNAcentral.
AGCGACUGUGCAGGUUACCGCGGCUGCUGGCACGGAGUUAGCCGGUGCUUCUUCUGUGAGUGAUGUCCUUCCUGCCGGCUAUUAACCCGCAGGCCUUCUUCCUCACUGAAAGUGCUUUACAACCCGAAGGCCUUCUUCACACACGCGGCAUGGCUGGAUCAGGGUUGCCCCCAUUGUCCAAUAUUCCCCACUGCUGCCUCCCGUAGGAGUCUGGGCCGUGUCUCAGUCCCAGUGUGGCUGAUCAUCCUCUCAGACCAGCUACGGAUCGUCGCCUUGGUGAGCCGUUACCUCACCAACCAGCUAAUCCGACAUAGGCUCAUCCGAUAGCGCGAGGCCCGGAAGGUCCCCCGGCUUUCCCCCCGUAGGGCGUAUGCGGUAUUAGCCUGGGUUUCCCCCAGGUUAUCCCCCACUACCGGGCAGAUUCCUAUGCAUUACUCACCCGUCCGCCGCUCGCCACCCAAGAAGCAAGCUUCUCUGUGCUGCCGUCCGACUUGCAUGUGU